RNAcentral lists this ribosomal RNA (492 nucleotides) under uncultured bacterium. Its description in RNAcentral is "partial 16S ribosomal RNA". It matches the Rfam family "Bacterial small subunit ribosomal RNA", at positions 29 to 507 of the family's 1533-position model. The record is from RNAcentral.
AGUGAACGCUGGCGGUAGGCCUAACACAUGCAAGUCGAACGGCAGCACAGUAAGAGCUUGCUCUUACGGGUGGCGAGUGGCGGACGGGUGAGGAAUACAUCGGAAUCUACUUUUUCGUGGGGGUUAACGUAGGGAAAGUUACGAUAAUACCGCAUACGACCUACGGGUGAAAGCAGGGGAUCUUCGGACCUUGCGCGAUUGAAUGAGCCGAUGUCGGAUUAGCUAGUUGGCGGGGGAAAGGCCCACCAAGGCGACGAUCCGUAGCUGGUCUGUGAGGAUGAUCGGCCACACUGGAACUGAGACACGGUCCAGACUCCUACGGGAGGCAGCAGUGGGGAAUAUUGGACAAUGGGCGCAAGCCUGAUCCAGCCAUACCGCGUGGGUGAAGAAGGCCUUCGGGUUGUAAAGCCCUUUUGUUGGGAAAGAAAAGCAGCAGGUUAAUACCCCGCUGUUCUGACGGUACCCAAAGAAUAAGCACCGGCUAACUUCGUG